GUUUAGUGAUCCGACGGUUCCGUGUGGAAGGGCCGUCGCUUAAAGGAUAAAAGGUACGCCGGGGAUAACAGGCUGAUCUUGCCCAAGAGUUCAUAUCGACGGCACGGUUUGGCACCUCGAUGUCGGUUCAUCGCAUCCUGGGGCUGAAGAAGGUCCCAAGGGUUUGGCUGUUCGCCAAUUAAAGCGGUACGUGAACUGGGUUCAGAACGUCGUGAGACAGUUCGGUCCCUAUCCUAUGCGGGCGCAGGAGAUUUGAGGAGCCUCGAUCUUAGUACGAGAGGACCGGAUUGACCGGACCGACGGUGUAUCUGUUGUCACGCCAGUGGCAUUGCAGAGUAGCCAUGUCCGGAAAGGAUAAGCGCUGAAAGCAUCUAAGCACGAAACCUACUCCAAGAUGAGAUCUCCCUGAAGACUCGUAGUAGACUACUACGUUGAUAGGACCACGGUGUAAGCGUAGUAAUACGUUCAGCCAACGGUUACUAAUAAGUCGUUCGACUUCAUUUU
This 504-nucleotide ribosomal RNA is filed under the name Bacteroidota bacterium. RNAcentral's name for it is "partial 23S ribosomal RNA". It matches the Rfam family "Bacterial large subunit ribosomal RNA", at positions 2410 to 2925 of the family's 2925-position model. The record is from RNAcentral. Lineage: Bacteria; Pseudomonadati; Bacteroidota.